AGAGUUUGAUCCUGGCUCAGGAUGAACGCUGGCGGCGUGCCUAAAACAUGCAAGUCGUGCGGCAGCAUGCCCUUUGGGGUGAUGGCGAGCGGCGGACGGCUGAGUAACACGUGGGAAUCUGCCCCAAAGUGAGGGAUAACUGCUCGAAAGAGUAGCUAAUACCGCAUAUGCUCUUCGGAGUAAAGCUUCGGCGCUUUGGG
RNAcentral lists this ribosomal RNA (200 nucleotides) under uncultured bacterium. Its description in RNAcentral is "partial 16S ribosomal RNA". It matches the Rfam family "Bacterial small subunit ribosomal RNA", at positions 8 to 224 of the family's 1533-position model. The record is from RNAcentral.